CCUACGGGGGUCAGCAGUGGGGGAUAUUGCACAAUGGGGGGAACCCUGAUGCAGCGACGCCGCGUGGGUGAAGAAGCGCCUCGGCGCGUAAAGCCCUGUCAGCAGGGAAGAAAAUGACGGUACCUGAAGAAGAAGCCCCGGCUAACUACGUGCCAGCAGCCGCGGUAAUACGUAGGGGGCAAGCGUUAUCCGGAUUUACUGGGUGGAAAGGGGGCGCAGACGGCGAUGCAAGCCAGGAGGGAAAGCCCGGGGCCCAACCCCGGGACUGCGCUUGGAACUGCGUGGCUGGAGUGCAGGAGGGGCAGGCGGAAUUCCUGGUGUAGCGGUGAAAUGCGUAGAUAUCAGGAGGAACACCGGUGGCGAAGGCGGCCUGCUGGACUGCAACUGACGUUGAGGCCCGAAAGCGUGGGGAGCAAACAGGAUUAGAUACCCCAGUAGUC
RNAcentral lists this ribosomal RNA (440 nucleotides) under uncultured bacterium. RNAcentral's name for it is "partial 16S ribosomal RNA". It matches the Rfam family "Bacterial small subunit ribosomal RNA", at positions 338 to 795 of the family's 1533-position model. The record is from RNAcentral.